AGAAUCACUCGAUCUAGCUAGUCCUUCAUGCUGGGAGAGAUCACCAAGAGCGAGAGCUGCAAGAAGCCUACCAGUUGGCGAUCUAGACUGUGGAUCCAACAAAUAUUGUGCCAGAGGAGCAAUUGCAUAUUUAGAUACCUUCAGCUGUCGUACCCUGACAUUGUUGAAAAGGGCUUCAAGUAAUCUUCCCGAUGCUUCUUCACACUGGUGAGAUCUUAGCAGAUCCAGAAGGGCAUCAACUGCGCCUGCUUCAGCCAUCAGUUCCGCACAUGAAAUAUCGGCCUUUUCAUGAACUAUAAGUGCAUCUAGUGCAAGAGUGAUAGUGGUCUCGACUGUUGAACGCAGCAUCUUUACAAGAACCACCAGGGGAACUUUGAAGUAGUAAUCAGAGUUAGAGCAUAGGACAUUGCAG
RNAcentral lists this unclassified non-coding RNA (412 nucleotides) under Hevea brasiliensis (rubber tree). Lineage: Eukaryota; Viridiplantae; Streptophyta; Magnoliopsida; Malpighiales; Euphorbiaceae. The record is from RNAcentral.